Molecule: unclassified non-coding RNA, 520 nt
Filed under: uncultured Glomus
Lineage: Eukaryota; Fungi; Glomeromycota; Glomeromycetes; Glomerales; Glomeraceae
Description: SSU rRNA
Rfam family: Eukaryotic small subunit ribosomal RNA
Source: RNAcentral
AGCAGCCGCGGUAAUUCCAGCUCCAAUAGCGUAUAUUAAAGUUGUUGCAGUUAAAAAGCUCGUAGUUGAAUUUCGGGGUUAGUAGGUUGGUCAUGCCUCUGGUAUGUACUGGUCUCACUGAUUCCUCCUUCCUGAUGAGCCGUAAUGCCAUUAAUUUGGUGUUGCGAGGAAUUUGGACUGUUACUUUGAAAAAAAUUUAGAGUGUUUAAAGCAAGCUAACGCUUGAAUACAUUAGCAUGGAAUAAUGAAAUAGGACGUUCGAUCCUAUUUUGUUGGUUUCUAGGAUUGACGUAAUGAUUAAUAGGGAUAGUUGGGGGCAUUAGUAUUCAAUUGUCAGAGGUGAAAUUCUUGGAUUUAUUGAAGACUAACUACUGCGAAAGCAUUUGCCAAGGAUGUUUUCAUUAAUCAAGAACGAAAGUUAGGGGAUCGAAGACGAUCAGAUACCGUCGUAGUCUUAACCAUAAACUAUGCCGACUAGGGAUUGGAUGAUGUUAAUUUUUUAAUGACUCAUUCGGCGCCU